UCAGUUCAAGGCCUUCAUUUCUGGACCCGUUCCCCAAAGUCUGUGGACCAGAGAUGGGAGUUCUAAAAGAAAGUCUCCAAGGUAAGAAGCUUCGUAAGGUGACUGGCAUGGCCCAGAGUCCUCUCUGUGAUACACGGCUUCAUUCCUUUUACUUCAUGAGGACGUCGCCGGUCCUUGCAAAAUUCCAAGGAGGCAGAAAGGCUACAUGGUUGAUCUCGUCUCCCCUGGCCGCGCACUGACUUUGUUAUCCGCAGUGAAUGAGGCUCCUACGGUCGAGCGUUGCCGCGGGACUGCAGCUCUUUAUUCUCCGCGAUGUUUCUCCCGAGAACGGUGACGGGGCUUCGGUGACAGUGUGCGUCAUAGCUAUAGCUACGCGAUCCUUUCUUACGCCCUCUUGUUUAACAAAGAGAAAAGAAAGACCCUCACCCUCUGCGGUGCAUUUCCCGUGAAUGCGUGUCCACGUGAAAGAGAGACCCAUGCCGGAAGGUCCUGGCAGGCACAGGCCCUUCUGACCGGUUAAUUUGCGAGAAAGCACAUUUGCCUUGAAGAACCGCAGAUCGUCCGAUGUUUCUCAACACUCCGAUCGUCGGCAGCAGCGGCUCCAAGCGGAUACGCCCUGGAAUAAUAAGCCCGUGGGCUUUCGAGUAAAUCCAUUCCCCAAUCUCCUCGUCAAUCAGGACCCCGGUGCCCGGAUUCACAGUCCAGAGGUGCUCAGGGACCGGCUGUGGGGUCUUGCCUGCUUCCUUGUUUUCCCGCAUGCCUUCCUUUUCAGCUCAAACAUUUCGGUUUUCUUUCGGGGGUCCACCCUCUCUGGGGCUGACAGUCAAGAGUGUGUCAGAACUGGGUGACAUGGGUGUUGCCACACCCAUUCAAUCGGAAUGGAUGCUGGCUAUGACACCUGCUGAACCCAGAUACGCUCAUCGGGUACUGUUUUGAUGAGUCCUGACAUCUAGAAGCCUUGUCCUUCCUUCUCCAAGGGCCAAGCAGGAACCGAGCUAAGCCAAGCAGGCCCUCCAUCCUGAGAAUCAGCAAGCUGAUCAGCGACACACACACAGGGCCGAAAACGUUUGGCACAGGGUGGGUCCCAUGGGUACUGCUUGGAAAUGCCAGCCCCUGGUGUGCCCUGCUUCCUGCCCUUCCCCAGACCUCAUUGCUCAGCUUUUCCUUUGUUCCAUAAACUAUACUAGUCCAAUAAACUGUAUGUAUUGACUUA
Long non-coding RNA from Suricata suricatta (meerkat), 1213 nucleotides. RefSeq lists it as uncharacterized. The transcript is spliced from 3 exons. The record is from RefSeq and is a predicted model, not a curated record. NCBI's taxonomy places the organism in Eukaryota, Metazoa, Chordata, Mammalia, Carnivora, Herpestidae.